Benincasa hispida (wax gourd) is the source of this 391-nucleotide long non-coding RNA. RefSeq lists it as uncharacterized. Lineage: Eukaryota; Viridiplantae; Streptophyta; Magnoliopsida; Cucurbitales; Cucurbitaceae. The record is from RefSeq and is a predicted model, not a curated record.
UCAAGCAUUAUUCACAUAUAAACACAAACUAAAGAUUUCAAUAGAAGAACAAAAUGGCUUCCAAUAAGAAGUACUUAACAAUUUUAGCAAUUGUCUUGUAUCUUAUGCUUUUCCUUUCAACCUUUGGGGUAGCAAGGAUUUUGAUUCCAAAUGGAAAUAAGAAUGCCCUAGAGACCAAGGUUAUUGUAGCAGGACGAAUUGUACGACGAGAUUUAGCACAUGGAGGAAAUUAUGGCCCGGGAAUCCAGUGAGAUAAUAUUAUGAACUAGUUUUGUUAGUGAAUUUCUUUUGUGAAAACUUAAAAGUAGUGUAACGUGGUUAUUGAUGUUCUAUAUCGGUUGUGUUUGAACUUUCGCUUUUUAAAGUAUCAAUGAUUUGAAAUUAAAAAAAA